GUUUCUUUGUCUUUUUUUCCCCUUAGAUACAGUGAAUGAUAAAACAUUAGGAGGAGACAAGUGGCAGAAAUAGUUUAAAGAGGCCGCUGCACUGAGAUCACCUCAACCCUGAGAUCAGGAGCUCAGAAUAACAAAGCAUCUGAAGCAGCUCAGAUACUCCACAGUCCAACACUGCUGACACAGGAGAGGGAUGACAUGGAAACAAAAGCAGACGCAGCAGACGGCCUUCAGAAGAAGUCCAAGAAGAAAUAUUUGAGGCCACAGACUGAAACAGUAUUUUUACCUGUCAUCAUGAGACAUUUGGGGUGACAGUUUUCAUUUUUUGUUGUGCUUAAUGCUUACAGUCUAAGACAUCUGCUGUUGAUAUUUAACACAAAGAGAAAAGUUAAACAGCUUUUACAAGUUUGAUAUUCUGAUCAUCACUCUGUACAUGAGGUGCUGUGAUUUAAUUUCAAAGGUCCUGGUGAGCCAUUUACACCAACCAGGGACAGUUUAAUUAGACCACAUUUGUAUUCUAAUUACAAAUGUAUUCUAACAUGUUUUUGUGUUCUCCGUGCUUCAGGUUCACAGCAGAUGGAAGGAAACUCAAA
Archocentrus centrarchus (flier cichlid) is the source of this 590-nucleotide long non-coding RNA. RefSeq lists it as uncharacterized. Lineage: Eukaryota; Metazoa; Chordata; Actinopteri; Cichliformes; Cichlidae. The record is from RefSeq and is a predicted model, not a curated record. The transcript is spliced from 3 exons.